This 65-nucleotide non-coding RNA is filed under the name Corynebacterium testudinoris. Lineage: Bacteria; Bacillati; Actinomycetota; Actinomycetes; Mycobacteriales; Corynebacteriaceae. The record is from RNAcentral.
GCCUCGCCACCAUGGUGGGGCCCGGACGAGGGAGCCGUACCCGGAGUCGCGACAAGACGGCCAGA